AUCCUGCCUGGGCUCUGGCCUCUGCUCUGUCCUCCCUCUUGCUGUGUCUGCCCUGUCUCUGAGAAGCCUGGCGGCUUCUUAGUCUGGCUCAAUGUCUUCAACAAAGAAGACUUCCCAGUCCAUCAGGGAGAAACCCCGUGGACGUCCGUGUCAUGAUCGUUUCCCUCUCCACACCUCUUUCUGGAUGACUGGGCAGGUGUGGUGUUCCUGGAGCUCUGGGCUUCCAUACCUCUGUGGGACAGGGAAGCUCUCUCGGUCUCCAUGGCCCAAGUGAUGGCUGCGCGCUCGGUCCAGGAAGGGGGGGAGGCAAGCCCACCGUUCCCCACAUUGGCCUUCCAGGAAAGGCGGUGUUGCAUCCCACCUGCACUUCCUGUCUGAUCCUUGAGGGCCAACCGGUUCCUCCGCUCCUGGGGAAAGCGCCUUCUGGCACUGGCACUGAAUCUUUUGGCUGCCACGGAUGUCAGGGAGCCAACGGGACUGGGUUUUGGCUGGGUGUAGGGGAGGUUGCGUCAGGGGUACCUAGGCGGUGGCGGCGUGGGGGUGGGGUGUACUUGGUCCAAAGCUCUCGGCUCCUCUGGCGGGCCUCCCUGAAUGUGGCCUGGACUCGCGCGCAGGCCCUGUCUCGCAGGUUUGCAGGUGCGCUUGGCUUUUCCUCCGCUUUGUGGUGCAGGUCUCCGGUGGCCCCCGGGCGCACGCCUGGACAUCACCGUCCGUCUCGUCGUCGCCCCCUACGGCCUCAAAGACACACGCUCACUGCAUGUGCUCUUGGGGGACGUCAGUGCCACGUGUGGUCACACGGGCUCCAGCUCGGACUCGCCUCUGUCUGUCUUUGCCCGUGUCGCCGGAAGCCGCGUCGGGAUGCCGGAGCCCCCGGGCCUUGGAGAUGAAGGCAGGCCCCCGCUCCACCCAGGAAGGAGGGAGGCAGUGGGCUCAUGGGUCAGUGCCGUUGCAGACGACAGCACGCCUUGCGACCCUGGGGAUCUCUCCGUGCCCCGGCGAGACCCUUUCCGCCUCACUGCAUUGUAACCCCAUUCCCGAUCACCCGGUGCGAUCCAUCGUCGGAUCCCAAGAGGAGUCCGCGCAGCCCAGCCAGCACCCCGAAGCUCCUCCUUCACCGGGAACCGAUGCAGAAGACCGAUCAAGGAGGUCCUGACGACAGGACUCCUAUGGGUCCGACCCUGGGUCUCCCGCAGGCCCCUCUGGUAGUCCUCUUCCCACCCGCCGUCCCGGGCUGCGCCGCAGCCGCCGCCGCAACCUCCAGCACUGCCGCCCCAGUCCCCGCAGCCGCGGCGUCGCUGCCAUUUUUUAAAGGGUCCGCAGCCUGACUCUGCCGAGUAAGGCGGGGGUGGGGCGGGUGAGUUGGCCUCACCAGUGCGCAUGCGCGAGGCCCGAGCCGCCGCUUUGGUCACAGUGAUCGCCACCGUUGCCCGGGGUUGGGUCCCUGAGACUUGUCUAAGCAGGAGCCCUGUGUGAUCGUACGUCAGAGUCGGGGCUGAGACCUGUCCUGGCCAGGGCAGUUACCAGGAAGGUCUCCGGAGGCCAGGAUUCGCCGAGGUUUCACCAGCAGGAAGAAACGUCAGGAGGAACAAACCUCAGACAGAUCGCCGGGGAGGCAGCGCGGGAUCCCAGCCUCAGGCGUGCGCGGACGGUGUGCGGGAAGGGAGUGUAUCCUGGUGUAUGACAGCAUAUAGUAGAGACCAUUGUCAAUUAGGGCCUGUGAACUGAGACAGGGUGACUGGCUAAGUCCACAACCCAUUAGAAACCCAGAAAUAAUCAAAUCAUGGAGAGAUUAGACCAGGGACAAUAAAUAUGGAUUAGGGAAGAAUGUGUUAACUCAGCAGGCCAGGGUUUCUUCAACCUGCACAUUCAAAGAGGGAUCAUGGAAAGGAAGCUGAAUUUGCUGAGUUUUGCCACGUGGGCAUUGCAUGCCUAUGUGAUUAACCACCAAUAAAAACCUGGGACAUCAAAAAAUAAAUAAGCUGCUUUAAUUGCCAAGAAUUCACAUGUGGUUGUAUGCAGCUUUACUGGGAGAUUGAAGUGUAUCUGCAUGUGAUUCUACUGUGAUGGACACUUGUAAAUUUGUGCCUGGAGUCUCCUGGAAUUUGCCCUGAGAAUCUUUUUCCUUUGUUGAUAUGAAUCUGCAUCCUUUUGUUUUAAUAAACGAUAAACAUGAGUAUAA
This is a long non-coding RNA of Gorilla gorilla gorilla (western lowland gorilla), 2179 nucleotides long. RefSeq lists it as uncharacterized. The transcript has 4 exons. The record is from RefSeq and is a predicted model, not a curated record. Lineage: Eukaryota; Metazoa; Chordata; Mammalia; Primates; Hominidae.